GGGGGUGUAGCUCAGUGGUAGAGCAACGGCCUUUUAAGCCGUGUGCCGAGGGUUCGAUUCCCUCCACCCUCACCA
Molecule: transfer RNA, 75 nt
Filed under: candidate division WWE3 bacterium
Lineage: Bacteria; candidate division WWE3
Description: tRNA-Lys
Rfam family: tRNA
About the family: Transfer RNA (tRNA) molecules are approximately 80 nucleotides in length. Their secondary structure includes four short double-helical elements and three loops (D, anti-codon, and T loops). Further hydrogen bonds mediate the characteristic L-shaped molecular structure. tRNAs have two regions of fundamental functional importance: the anti-codon, which is responsible for specific mRNA codon recognition, and the 3' end, to which the tRNAs corresponding amino acid is attached (by aminoacyl-tRNA synthetases). tRNAs cope with the degeneracy of the genetic code in two manners: having more than one tRNA (with a specific anti-codon) for a particular amino acid; and 'wobble' base-pairing, i.e. permitting non-standard base-pairing at the 3rd anti-codon position.
Source: RNAcentral